AUUACUGUGAAUCGGUGCUGCUGUGGAGUCGUUAAGAAGCACUGUGAAUUGGGAUUUAGGUAUAUUUUAUUGACACUCGUGAGACGCUCUAGCUUUGGUAGGCCAUGUUACUCAGCUAUAGUUUCGAACCCGGUACUUCGUAAACAUCGUGCGCGCAGUCUGGGCUCUCCGUUCACGCGGGGUUGUUUCUUGCGACCGGUACGUGCCGGACUUGCCUAAGAAGUGCCGAGAGUUCCCCCUUCAUCCCUAGGAUUACUCGAGUGAAGUGAGAUCUGUCCUGGUGUUGUUAACCAGGAGUGUAAGACUCCCGGGAUAUUUCAAUUUGCGGGGAUUUGGCCGGCUAAGUGCAGAACAAACAUGCAAACAAACCAGCGCAACGGCCCUCUGCGAUUCUCGUGCCGACGACGCGCGGGGGAGUGUCUAAUGUAAGAUGGCGGAUGGCGGAAAUACUUGUUCGGCGGAGAAGAGUAGCCAACUUCACUUGACUGAUUCUACAGGAUCACAGCAGCCGCGUAGCCAAUAAUUACUAAAGCAAACAGGAGCUUGAGGCUGUACGGACUUGGAAGCGUCGGAGGGGUGGUGGAAUGGUUGAAGUACGGCCGCGUGGAGCGAGCACCUGGAAGGGACCAGCUGUUAUCCCCGUGGAAGCCGCGAGACGCUCAGCGCAAGAAGAAGACGCAGACGUGGAAACACGUAAGAAAGAAAAGUAACCAUAAGUAAAGCCAGAAAAGGGAGAAAGCAAAAGCUCACCAGAAACAGUCCGGAUAGGGUUCGCAGCUCGUUGGCUUUUGCCCGGCAAUUUGUUUAGUUUCAACUUGACACCCGAAGCACAUGGAACCGAUAAGUAACCGGAGACACCGUGUCCGCCACUCACGCACGUUAAGGGUCAUAGGCCGUGC
Long non-coding RNA from Cephus cinctus (wheat stem sawfly), 899 nucleotides. RefSeq lists it as uncharacterized. The record is from RefSeq and is a predicted model, not a curated record. The transcript is spliced from 3 exons. Lineage: Eukaryota; Metazoa; Arthropoda; Insecta; Hymenoptera; Cephidae.